AACGCCCGGGUGCAGGCAAGUGUCUGGCCGUGGGCGGUCCCCGGGCUCUCGGGAACCUGUGGGCGGAGGCGAGGGCUUGCGCCAGCCUAGAACCCCUGGGGCAGGGAGAGCCUACGCAGUGGGGCGCCUAGCACCGCGGAAGCCAGAGGAGCUGGGAGGCUGCCUUCCCCCAUGCCAUCAUUGCCACUGGCAUGGCCCACGCCAUCCUAGCUGCCUGUACCCAGGGUAACCUCAGUGACUGUGGCUGUGACAAGGAGAAGCAAAGCCAGUACCACCGGGACGAGAGCUGGAAGUCGGGUGGCUGUUCUGCCGACAUCUGCUACGGCAUCGGCUUCGCCAAGGUCUUUGUGGAUGCCCAGGAGAUGAAGCAGAAUGCCCAGACUCUCAUGAACUUACACAGCAGUGAGGCAGGCUGAAAGGUGGGCACCUGGGCGGCUCUUGCAGAGAUGCUGUGGAACAGCUUGUUUGUAACCCUGGCUCUGGGUGUCUGGUGAUAGCCACGGGGCUCUGCCCUCAGCCUCGUUCUGCUUGGCUCUGGCGUUGAUCCGCUACAGGUCAGGGUUUGUGCCUGCCUGUCAGUUACUGGAGAGGUUGGAGAGCUGAGUCUCCACUAAGACAAACUGGAUGUUGCUCAACAAGACAGAAAGUGGGACAGAUGUGAACUCUUAUCCUUGGCAGGGGCCAAGCAGGUCAUCCUCCCACUACCCCUCCCUCCACGCUCUUCUCAGGCUUCUGGCCACAUCCUGUGUGUCAGAACCUCCCAGGUGGCCAUGAGUUUGGCUUCUUUCCUGUUGAGAAGGCUGGCACCCAACAUGGGGCUCAGAGAAGACUCAGAACCCCCGAAGGAGCAGCUGGAACUCGGGGCCAGGCACUGGCAUCAUCCUUUUCGGCUCCCCGGACUCCGAGCUUCUCCUCUGGCGGAACUGGCUUUCAGAUCACCAGUGACUGUGUCUGGAUCUAAUGGAGAAACCUAAGCAUCAAACAGAGAUCCUUGACUUUGAGCAGGAUGCAAGAACUGGAUGGGAUUCUGCGUCUUUGAAUCUCCACAGAAGAAACCUUCCCACUCAUGAGGAACACUGUGUUCAACUGUUAGGGGACGAGAUCAUCUGCUGACAGUAAGAGAGUAGAGUGGAAGUUGGAGAAAAUGGAGAAGGUUGGAAUAGACACUGGUGAAUGGGAGAGCCAAGCCAAGAAGCCAAGGGAAGCUGAUGGGUACCACGGAGUGGGGGGACUAUGCCAUAUGAGGCCCUCAGUCUGUGGUCAGUGAAUGAAGAGCAGUGAAACCGGAAGAACAUCAGGGUGAAAACAAUGGAUCUGAGUCAGCAUCAUGUAGCUCGGAGUCACUCUUGUGGGGUCUGCUGUCAAGGUGCUGGGGCUCAAAUCCCAAUCUGAGCCUCCUGGGUGUGUGCACCGUUCAGGCCACCGAGUGAGCAGGACAAGGGGCAGAUGAAAUGCGAAAGGGAACAUGUCAUGAAAAUUGCUGAAGCUGAGAGCUAACUGGAGGUCAGUGACUAUUUUACUUGGGCAUGUAUUUUUAAAUUCCCAUAAUAAAAUUAAAUCCUCCAAUACCUAAAUAAUGGCGCCAAACUUGCCUGCAGAGUACAGCCACGCCCCCUCUAGGCACCAACUUGCUAUGCUUCCCUAUGGUGAACAGCCCUCCUCCAGUCAUGGGGACACACCCUCCUCUCCCCUCCCCCUACCCCGUGCUGAACCCUGGUCUAUUCCAAUUCCCCAUUGCACUCUGCUUGGCCCUCCUCAGUGUGGGCCGCACCCUUUGCCCUCACGUGUCCAGAGGUCAGGCUGGUCCAGGGCGCUGGUCACACCCUCUGCCUCUUCUGCACUCUCUCCGCCCACUGCAACCCCCCUAGCACAGUCACCACCGUCUCCCUUGGGUGGCUGUACCAGCCUGUCGGCAGGUCUCCCAGCCUCAGGUUUUUAUUUUCUCCAACUUGUUCUCCCCACUGUGGCCCCCAUGAACUUUCUCCAGGACAGAUCAGAGCCCUGUGUUAGUUAAGACCUCUCCAUGGCUGGGUGCACAUGUAAGAUAAAGCCCACGGUCCUGAAUGCACCACCUGGCCCCUGAAGAGUCCUGCCUCCUCUGUGCCGCCUUCACCCUCAUCAGCAGCAGGUCGGCCACCCUGAACUCUUCAAGUUCCCCAAACGUCCCUGGUCUAGGUCCAUGGCACACCUUGCCACAGGCUAGAACACUCCACCUCUGCCUCUUCUCCCAGGAGCUCGGGCUGCCUGCCGGGGCUCUCCCUGAAAGGGGAGGGGCCCCCCAGAGCAUCUGUGUGUGGGGCCAGGAUUGCUCCCCGGGCUGUUGCACCUGGCACUGCUCAGGUUCUCCCCACAACGCACAGAUCUCUGUGGAGAAAGCUGAGCUGAUGCUCCACUAACUACGCUCAGAUAAAGAAAGUUGUCCCCACCCUAAGAAACUGCCAUUCUGUUUAUGCUGCUUCUUUCCUUGUAGCGGGAGAAAGGCCCUGGCAGAAGUCUGAGCAAGGUCAGAGCUCCCACCCCAUAAUGCCCUUCCCCUCCCUGCUCCUCCCAGCCUUGGCACUGCUGGGCCGAGGCCUCCAGAGGCCGAUUUGCAGCGUCAGAAGAACCUUAUUCUCUCCCUCUUAGUAUCUGUCAAUCAGAAAUGAAAGAACAAUACAGGGCAUCUUGGACCAGCCUGCUCCUGGUUUCUUCUGUGAAGUCUGAUAGGAAUGUGAUACUUUUCUGAGCCUCUUAAGCGAACCUGGGACCCUUUCCUAACUGGCUGCUUUUCUAAUGAGCUCUUUCUGUUCACAUGCUGGCUUUCAGCUCUUCUGUCUCCAUGCCCUGAGAUGGUGCACUCUUGUCACUUUGCUAGCAAUUAAUAAACUCAGAUACAUGCCCAAGACGGCAUGUUUUAAGGCCACAGACCUAGCAUACCCCUUGAGACCCUCUGUGAUGCUGCCCAGUCUUCCCCUGCCUGGACUCCUAAGUUAACCGCCGCUGACCCAUCUGCCAUGCCCUGAAUACAGCUGCAUCCUUGGGGGUCCUCCCCUGUUGGCUACACCUUCUAUAAUCCUCCCCCGUGGGCCUGCCAACUCUGCCAGGAGCCUUCUCCCUCAACUCGACCGGACCGGUGCGGCCCUGUCCCAGCACCUCCCAGGCCCCUUCUGGGAGCCCGUGGUUCUGCUUAGCUCUGGAACCCCACCUCCUGUGCAGGGCAUGGCAUGUCCAAGGGACUUGGAAAACAUAUGUUGAGUAAUUUAAAUUUAGUCAGAUAGAUGGCAGGCUGGCUUUGCCUCAUACUUAUGUGCUGCCAUGAUCAUUUUUCCCCUUCUGCUCCAGGCUUCUGCUGGUCCCCUUGUCUGGACAUCUUGGCGGAGCAACCCAUGCUGGGGUUUAGAGUGGGGAAGUGGGGGUCGGGGCUGCAUCGUCCCGCAGUAACCCUCUGGGACUCCCUCCUGGUGGGAGGCUCUUCUUCCAGGAACCUGGAGGCCACCUGGGUCCCCUGCACACAGUGAUCGGGACACCUCGGCAUGGACCCAGUCAGCCACUCUGAAAAUCAGGUCUCGUCUCGGCCGUGGACACUGCACUGUAAUGGUUCUCAACACAACCAGUAAACCUGAAACGUGUGAGAAGGAGCGAACUCCAGCAAGAGAAGCAAUUAAUGACACAGACCCGUUAAGUCAACUAAUAUUAUUAAACUUUGAAAUUUAGAAAUUGCC
Molecule: long non-coding RNA, 3701 nt
Organism: Lemur catta (Ring-tailed lemur)
Lineage: Eukaryota; Metazoa; Chordata; Mammalia; Primates; Lemuridae
Exons: 5
Source: RefSeq, a predicted model, not a curated record